This 460-nucleotide ribosomal RNA is filed under the name uncultured bacterium. RNAcentral's name for it is "partial 16S ribosomal RNA". It matches the Rfam family "Bacterial small subunit ribosomal RNA", at positions 338 to 795 of the family's 1533-position model. The record is from RNAcentral.
CCUACGGGAGGCUGCAGUGAGGAAUAUUGGUCAAUGGACGAGAGUCUGAACCAGCCAAGUAGCGUGAAGGAUGACUGCCCUAUGGGUUGUAAACUUCUUUUAUAAAGGAAUAAAACGAGGCACGUGUGCCUUUUUGCAUGUACUUUAUGAAUAAGGAUCGGCUAACUCCGUGCCAGCAGCCGCGGUAAUACGGAGGAUCCGAGCGUUAUCCGGAUUUAUUGGGUUUAAAGGGAGCGUAGAUGGGUUGAUAAGUCAGUUGUGAAAGUUUGCGGCUCAACCGUAAAAUUGCAAUUGAUACUGGCAGUCUUGAGUACAGUUGAGGUAAGCGGAAUUCGUGGUGUAGCGGUGAAAGGCUUAGAUAUCACGAAGAACCCCGAUUGCGAAGGCAGCUUACUAAACUGUGACUGACAUUGAUGCUCGAAAGUGGGGGUAUCAAACAGGAUUAGAUACCCGAGUAGUC